RNAcentral lists this ribosomal RNA (424 nucleotides) under uncultured Methylobacterium sp. RNAcentral describes it as "bacterial SSU rRNA". It matches the Rfam family "Bacterial small subunit ribosomal RNA", at positions 57 to 527 of the family's 1533-position model. Lineage: Bacteria; Pseudomonadati; Pseudomonadota; Alphaproteobacteria; Hyphomicrobiales; Methylobacteriaceae. The record is from RNAcentral.
GCAAGUCGAACGGACCUUUCGGGGUCAGCGGCGGACGGGUGAGUAACGCGUGGGAACGUGCCUUCCGGUUCGGAAUAACCCUGGGAAACUAGGGCUAAUACCGGAUACGCCCUUAUGGGGAAAGGUUUACUGCCGGAAGAUCGGCCCGCGUCUGAUUAGCUAGUUGGUGGGGUAACGGCCUACCAAGGCGACGAUCAGUAGCUGGUCUGAGAGGAUGAUCAGCCACACUGGGACUGAGACACGGCCCAGACUCCUACGGGAGGCAGCAGUGGGGAAUAUUGGACAAUGGGCGCAAGCCUGAUCCAGCCAUGCCGCGUGAGUGAUGAAGGCCUUAGGGUUGUAAAGCUCUUUUAUCCGGGACGAUAAUGACGGUACCGGAGGAAUAAGCCCCGGCUAACUUCGUGCCAGCAGCCGCGGUAAUACG